Molecule: ribosomal RNA, 724 nt
Filed under: Neoplecostomus sp. 9 FFR-2012
Lineage: Eukaryota; Metazoa; Chordata; Actinopteri; Siluriformes; Loricariidae
Description: partial 12S ribosomal RNA
Rfam family: Bacterial small subunit ribosomal RNA
Source: RNAcentral
UGCCCAAGAAACCUUGUUCAGUCACACCCUCAAGGGAAUUCAGCAGUUAUAAACAUUGAGCCAUGAGUGAAAACUUGACUUAGUUAAGGUUAAAAGGGUCGGUAAAAUUCGUGCCAGCCACCGCGGUUAUACGAAAGACCCUAGUUUAUAGACACGGCGUAAAGGGUGGUUAGGGGACUAAUAAAAUAAAGCCAAAGACCCCCAAAGCCGUCACACGCCCAUGGGGGCACGAAGCCCAAGUACGAAAGUAGCUUUAACAAAUAUACCCGACCCCACGAAAGCUGGGAAACAAACUGGGAUUAGAUACCCCACUAUGCCCAACCUUAAACCUUGAUGAAAGCUUACAAAACCAUCCGCCUGGGGACUACGAGCACAGCUUAAAACCCAAAGGACUUGGCGGUGCCUCAGACCCACCUAGAGGAGCCUGUUCUAGAACCGAUAACCCCCGUUAAACCUCACCACCUCUUGUUUUCCCCGCCUAUAUACCACCGUCGUCAGCUUACCCUGUGAAGGCCCAGCAGUAAGCAAAAUGGGUUCAACCCAAAACGUCAGGUCGAGGUGUAGCGCACGAGAUGGAAAGAAAUGGGUACAUUUUCUACCACAGAACACCACGAAUGGCACCCUGAAACAUGACGCCUGAAGGAGGAUUUAGUAGUAAAAAGCAAAUAGAGUGUCCUUUUGAAUUAGGCUCUGAGGCGCGCACACACCGCCCGUCACUCUCCCC